Molecule: ribosomal RNA, 490 nt
Filed under: uncultured bacterium
Lineage: Bacteria
Description: partial 16S ribosomal RNA
Rfam family: Bacterial small subunit ribosomal RNA
Source: RNAcentral
AUUGAACGCUGGCGGCAGGCCUAACACAUGCAAGUCGAACGGUAACAGGAAGAAGCCUGCUUCUUUCCUGACGAGAGGCGGACGGGUGAGUAAUGUAUGGGAAACUGCCUGAUGGAGGGGGUUAACUACUGGAAACGGUUGCUAAAACCGCAUAACGUCGCAAGACCAAAGAGGGGGACCUCCGGGCCUCUUGCAAUCGGCUGUGCCCAGGUGGGAUUAGCUAGUAGGUGGGGUAACGGCUCACCUAGGCGACGAUCCGUAGCUGGUCUGAGAGGAUGACCAGCCACACUGGAACUGAGACACGGUCCAGACUCCUACGGGAGGCAGCAGUGGGGAAUAUUGGACAAUGGGCGCAAGCCUGAUGCAGCCAUGCCGCGUGUAUGAAGAAGGCCUUCGGGUUGUAAAGUACUUUCAGCGGGGAGGAAGGGAAGAAAGUUAAUACCUUGGCGCAUUGACGUUACCCACAGAAUAAGCACCGGCUAACUCCGUG